CGACCUUUCAAAGACAUCGAUUAUGAUCCAUCAAAACCCUUAACCUUUACGGGCUAUUCUUUGCUAUUGAUCCCAUCAAAAUUUAUGUUUGCUUUUGCCAAACGUGAUCCGUUAGAUGGUGGGUUUUUUCACUGUAAAUUGGAUCAUCAUCGUUUUCCCGAGCAAUCAAAUUGUCCAUAAUCAUCCAAUUAUGCACCUUCCAUCUGCCACUUGCUCGAUGAACCUCUUGCUUCAUUAAAAUCUCCAGGGUUUUACACAAGUAACAAUACUUUGAUCCCAACAUACCACCAUACAUGAGACCCACCCAUCAUACAAUUGGAAAAACAAGCAUCAAAUUAGAAGCAUCACUGUGUUAUUAGAAAUCGACAAUUGCGCAUACUAACUGUCACGAACAAAAGAGAUUGUACCACACUCAAUUAACAACCCAGAAUCAACCAAAACACCUAAAAGGCCAUAUAGGUGCGAACCACCAUAAUUGUCUGUGGGGAGAGAGAGUCCCCAUAAGAUGGGUCUGCUAAAUAUCUAAUUGAAGUUGAUGGAAGUUAACUAGAAGUGUCAUUAGGAAGUUGUGUUUGCAUAUAUACAGUUUGAGAUGUCCUCUUGAGACGUGCAACCCGCCUACGAUGGCCAUGUCCCUGUCUGUGCUGCUUCCAUUCAUGAACUCCUCAAAAAACAUGAAACCCAUAGUACUCAUAUAUCUGUUGGAGAUAACGAUAAAGGAAGAGAGAGGAAAUAUGAAGGUGGGUUUUGUGUAGAAGAAGAAAAUAGUGAUGGUGGUUCUGGUAUUUCAGUGAAAGAAAGAGGUUUUCAGUUGGGUACAUUUUAUCGAUGGGCCUUCUAUUUGUGCUGAUAAAGUUUUUCUAAGAAUCUAAACCACUCGCUCCAUCGUAACACUGUUGUCCC
This 903-nucleotide long non-coding RNA is filed under the name Amborella trichopoda. RNAcentral describes it as "long non-coding RNA (ATRI_LNC001891)". Lineage: Eukaryota; Viridiplantae; Streptophyta; Magnoliopsida; Amborellales; Amborellaceae. The record is from RNAcentral.